RNAcentral lists this ribosomal RNA (432 nucleotides) under uncultured bacterium. Its description in RNAcentral is "partial 16S ribosomal RNA". It matches the Rfam family "Bacterial small subunit ribosomal RNA", at positions 29 to 506 of the family's 1533-position model. The record is from RNAcentral.
AACGAACGCUGGCGGCAUGCCUAACACAUGCAAGUCGAACGAGACAUUCGGGUCUAGUGGCGCACGGGUGAGUAACGCGUGGGAACCUGCCCUUAGGUUCGGAAUAACUUCCCGAAAGGGGUGCUAAUACCGGAUAAUGUCUUCGGACCAAAGAUUUAUCGCCUUUGGAUGGGCCCGCGUUGGAUUAGCUAGUUGGUAGGGUAAAAGCCUACCAAGGCGACGAUCCAUAGCUGGUCUGAGAGGAUGAUCAGCCACACUGGGACUGAGACACGGCCCAGACUCCUACGGGAGGCAGCAGGGGGGAAUAUUGGACAAUGGGCGAGAGCCUGAGCCAGCAAUGCCGCGUGAGUGAUGAAGGCCUUAGGGUUGUAAAGCUCUUUUACCCGGGAUGAUAAUGACAGUACCGGGAGAAUAAGCUCCGGCAAACUCCGU